Non-coding RNA from Podarcis lilfordi (Lilford's wall lizard), 72 nucleotides. Lineage: Eukaryota; Metazoa; Chordata; Lepidosauria; Squamata; Lacertidae. The record is from the annotation of a GenBank genome assembly.
GGAGACGUGGCUCAGCGGCAGAGUAUCUGCUUGGCGUGCAGAAGGUUGAGUGUUCAACUCCCGGCAUCUCCC